This 191-nucleotide ribosomal RNA is filed under the name uncultured soil bacterium. RNAcentral's name for it is "partial 16S ribosomal RNA". It matches the Rfam family "Bacterial small subunit ribosomal RNA", at positions 26 to 244 of the family's 1533-position model. The record is from RNAcentral.
AGAACGAACGCUGGCGGCAUGCCUAAUACAUGCAAGUCGAACGAACUCUUCGGAGUUAGUGGCGCACGGGUGCGUAACGCGUGGGAAUCUGCCCCUUGGUUCGGAAUAACAGUUGGAAACGACUGCUAAUACCGGAUGAUGACGAAAGUCCAAAGAUUUAUCGCCCAGGGAUGACGCCCGCGUAGGAUUAG